Molecule: small RNA, 79 nt
Filed under: Flavobacterium pectinovorum
Lineage: Bacteria; Pseudomonadati; Bacteroidota; Flavobacteriia; Flavobacteriales; Flavobacteriaceae
Description: Flavo-1 RNA
Rfam family: Flavo-1 RNA
Source: RNAcentral
UUUUAGCCCCGAUAGAAGCGGUAUCCUUUUUCUAGCUUCUUUAGCUAGGAAAAGAUACAAGCGGAUAGCGGGAAUAGCU